Molecule: long non-coding RNA, 1050 nt
Organism: Passer domesticus (house sparrow)
Lineage: Eukaryota; Metazoa; Chordata; Aves; Passeriformes; Passeridae
Exons: 3
Source: RefSeq, a predicted model, not a curated record
GCUGCUUCUGGAGUGCCUUUAUCUCCUUCUUUCCUUUUUCCUCCCUGAGGUGGGAAAACACAAUCACUUGAAUAUAUGAAGAAAGACAAGAGCUGUUUACCUAGAAGGGGAACUUCCUGUCUCCUGAUACAUUGUGAGUCCUUAUCUCGGUGACCGAUGAACAAAAGCUCCUGAUAAGGAGUCUCCCAUCAUCUCACUGCAGAUGGCUUUCAGAACAGUAUUUACACAAAACCAGGCAAUGGAAGUGGAAGAGUUGGGUUUCAUGCUUGAAGUCACACAUUGCACUGAAGCUGGGGACUUGCCCUGGAGGCAGAUCCCUGAGUCACCACAAGAGCAGCUCCAGUAGCUUGGACUCCUGACAAAUCAUGACUGAGAGCAGCUCUGCUGUGCACCCUCAAUGAUAGGCCCGAGCUGCUGCACUGAGGUAGCUUUAAAGUGGUCAAAUAUUUGUCUGACGACUGCAAUUCUCUCUGACAGUUUUAGGAUUGAAUCAGAGGUUUGCAUGCUAAAAAACCCCAAAAACUAGAGCUCAAAAGUUUGAGCUGGGAAAUCACCAGUUUGAGCUGAGAUUAUAGCAAAUGUGUACCCUGGAAGAUUUGGGACAGAAGAGAAUCACAGUGCAGUGGCUGGUGGAUUAGCCUUAAAUAAGACACCUCUGUCACCAUCUGUGCUAACCCCUCACUGCUGCUGGGAGAAGGGAGCCUAUUAGCAUAUAGGUCACAGCAGAUUCUCCUGGGCAUCAGACAACCUAAAGGCCAUAUGUUGCUGGCCCUGAUUUGAACAGAUUCUCUGCUGCUCUGGCUUUCACUGGGGACAGAAGUUAAAGAUCAAGGAGCUCCUACAUCACAUUAUGUUUUAAUUGAAAUGAGGCAUUUGCACUAAUUCAGCCACUGGUGUCCGCCGUGGUCAAAGCUCAGGCAAUUCCUAGCUCAGUUCAGUAUCAGACCCAUCCACUGUUUCUUUCCAAAGGGGAAAACUUGCAGUUUGCAAAGCAAACAGAAUAAUUCAAGUUUUAAAAGGUAUCCCUUCUGUAUUUUAGUUUUAUUGGGU